GUCCACGCUGUAAACGAUGAGAACUAGAUGUUGGGAGGGUUUUGCCUCUCAGUGUCGCAGCUAACGCGCUAAGUUCUCCGCCUGGGGAGUACGGCCGCAAGGUUGAAACUCAAAGGAAUUGACGGGGAUCCGCACAAGCGGUGGAGCAUGUGGUUUAAUUCGAUGCAACGCGAAGAACCUUACCUGGUCUUGACAUCCCAGGAACCUCGCAGAGAUGUGGGGGUGCCUUCGGUAACCUGGAGACAGGUGCUGCAUGGCUGUCGU
RNAcentral lists this ribosomal RNA (264 nucleotides) under uncultured bacterium. RNAcentral's name for it is "partial 16S ribosomal RNA". It matches the Rfam family "Bacterial small subunit ribosomal RNA", at positions 793 to 1055 of the family's 1533-position model. The record is from RNAcentral.